RNAcentral lists this transfer RNA (85 nucleotides) under Erysipelothrix sp. RNAcentral describes it as "tRNA-Leu". It matches the Rfam family "tRNA". From Rfam's summary of the family: Transfer RNA (tRNA) molecules are approximately 80 nucleotides in length. Their secondary structure includes four short double-helical elements and three loops (D, anti-codon, and T loops). Further hydrogen bonds mediate the characteristic L-shaped molecular structure. tRNAs have two regions of fundamental functional importance: the anti-codon, which is responsible for specific mRNA codon recognition, and the 3' end, to which the tRNAs corresponding amino acid is attached (by aminoacyl-tRNA synthetases). tRNAs cope with the degeneracy of the genetic code in two manners: having more than one tRNA (with a specific anti-codon) for a particular amino acid; and 'wobble' base-pairing, i.e. permitting non-standard base-pairing at the 3rd anti-codon position. The record is from RNAcentral. Lineage: Bacteria; Bacillati; Bacillota; Erysipelotrichia; Erysipelotrichales; Erysipelotrichaceae.
GCGGGUGUGGCGAAAUUGGCAGACGCACUAGACUUAGGAUCUAGCGGGGUGACCCAUGGGGGUUCGAGUCCCUUCACCCGCACCA